RNAcentral lists this ribosomal RNA (609 nucleotides) under Providencia rettgeri. RNAcentral's name for it is "partial 23S ribosomal RNA". It matches the Rfam family "Bacterial large subunit ribosomal RNA", at positions 1084 to 1693 of the family's 2925-position model. The record is from RNAcentral. Lineage: Bacteria; Pseudomonadati; Pseudomonadota; Gammaproteobacteria; Enterobacterales; Morganellaceae.
CUCAGACAGCCAGGAUGUUGGCUUAGAAGCAGCCAUCAUUUAAAGAAAGCGUAAUAGCUCACUGGUCGAGUCGGCCUGCGCGGAAGAUGUAACGGGGCUAAACUAUGCACCGAAGCUGCGGCAGCGAUAUGUAAAUAUUGUUGGGUAGGGGAGCGUUCUGUAAGCCUGUGAAGGUGUACUGUGAGGUAUGCUGGAGGUAUCAGAAGUGCGAAUGCUGACAUAAGUAACGAUAAUGCGGGUGAAAAACCCGCACGCCGGAAGACCAAGGGUUCCUGUCCAACGUUAAUCGGGGCAGGGUGAGUCGACCCCUAAGGCGAGGCAGAAAUGCGUAGUCGAUGGGAAACGGGUUAAUAUUCCCGUACUGGUGAUAAUUGCGAUGGGGGGACGGAGAAGGCUAGGCUAUCCGGGCGACGGUUGUCCCGGUUUAAGGAUGUAGGCAGGUGAAUUAGGCAAAUCCGGUUCAUUAUAUGCUGAGGUCCGAUGACGAGUCACUACGGUGAUGAAGUAGCUCAUGCCCCGCUUCCAGGAAAAGCCUCUAAGCUCUAGAUUAUCAUUAAUCGUACCCCAAACCGACACAGGUGGUCAGGUAGAGAAUACUCAGGCGCUUGA